RNAcentral lists this ribosomal RNA (253 nucleotides) under uncultured bacterium. RNAcentral describes it as "partial 16S ribosomal RNA". It matches the Rfam family "Bacterial small subunit ribosomal RNA", at positions 524 to 776 of the family's 1533-position model. The record is from RNAcentral.
GACGUAGGAUGCAAGCGUUGUCCGGAUUUAUUGGGCGUAAAGAGUUCGUAGGCGGUUCGUUAAGUCUGGUGUUAAAGAUCAGGGCUCAACCCUGAGAGUGCACUGGAUACUGGCGGACUGGAGUGUGGUAGAGGCUAGUGGAAUUCCCAGUGUAGCGGUGAAAUGCGUAGAUAUUGGGAAGAACACCGGUGGCGUAGGCGACUAGCUGGGCCAUAACUGACGCUGAGGAACGAAAGCCAGGGGAGCGAAUGGG